Molecule: ribosomal RNA, 198 nt
Filed under: uncultured bacterium
Lineage: Bacteria
Description: partial 16S ribosomal RNA
Rfam family: Bacterial small subunit ribosomal RNA
Source: RNAcentral
ACGCUCGACACCUACGGGAGCAGCAGUGGGGAAUAUUGCACAAUGGGGGAAACCCUGAUGCAGCGACGCCGCGUGGAGGAAGAAGGUCUUCGGAUUUGUAAACUCCUGUUGUUGGGGAAAAAGAGGAUGGUACCCAACAAGGAAGUGACGGCUAACUACGUGCCAGUAGCCGCAGUAAUCUGAGCGGGCUGGCAAGGC